Molecule: ribosomal RNA, 253 nt
Filed under: uncultured prokaryote
Description: partial 16S ribosomal RNA
Rfam family: Bacterial small subunit ribosomal RNA
Source: RNAcentral
UACGUAGGUGGCGAGCGUUGUCCGGAAUCACUGGGCGUAAAGCGCGCGCAGGCGGCGAUCUACGUCUGGGGUGAAAGCCCGGAGCUCAACUCCGGGACUGCCUUGGAUACGGGAUCGCUUGAGGAUCGGAGAGGCAAGGGGAAUUCCACGUGUAGCGGUGAAAUGCGUAGAUAUGCGGAGGAACACCGAUGGCGAAGGCAAUCCCCUGGACCUGUACUGACGCUCAUGCACGAAAGCGUGGGGAGCAAACAGG